RNAcentral lists this long non-coding RNA (509 nucleotides) under Homo sapiens (human). RNAcentral's name for it is "HSALNT0322827". The record is from RNAcentral. Lineage: Eukaryota; Metazoa; Chordata; Mammalia; Primates; Hominidae.
AUGCAGUACCACCUUGUCUGCUGGAACAUUUACCUUUUGGAACUCCCAGCCUUCCUGUGAGAAGUUCCACUGCCUGAGGCUGGCAUUUUGUGAGAAAGCCCAAGACAGACAGAGAGACCCUUUGAAGGUAAUACUGAUCAACAGUCACAGCUGAGCCCAGGCUUUGAGUCAGCCCAGCCUAGGUGCCAGUCACGUGAGCUGAGAAGCUGAUUCCAGCUCCUAGCCAUUCUCGCCGCUCAGCCAUUUGGGUCAUCCCAGCCGAGGCCCUCAUCAUGGCCAGAGACAUACAAUGCCUGCUCUGCCUUGUCCUAAGUCCUGACCUGAAGAAUUCAUGAGGGGUCUUGCUGUGUUGACCAAGUUGGAGUGCAGUGGCAUGAUCUCAGCUCAUUGCAACCUCUGCCUCCUGAGUUCAAGCAUUCUCCUCUCUCAGCCUCCCAAGUAGCUGGGACUACAGGCAUGUACCACCACACCUGGGUAAUUUUUGUAAUUUUUUAGUAGAAAUGGGGUUU